AUUAUACGUAUAUAAAUAUCGAGACGGUAAGAAAAUUUCGACAAGUUAUAUGUACAUAAAUAUCGAGACGGUAAGAAAAUUUCGACAAAUUAUACCUAUAUAAAUAUCGAGACGCUAAGAAAGUUUCGACAAGUUAUAUAUAUACAUGUAAAUAUCGAGAAGAUCGAUCAGUGAAGCACGAGUUUUUGAAGGAGCGCGUGUUACACAGAGCACAGUAGCAAUCGUGGACACGCGUGGCCGUGAUGGCAGCCGGAAAGUUAACACGGGCGGUCGCGUCGAUCCUCGGAAUUAAUUAAAACCGUCGAGGCGAGGGGAACGUGUAUUUUUAUCUGCCCUCCGCUCCCGGUGACACGUCUAUCUUCAACUCGGUCUCUGCAUCGCAAAAAGAGGAAAUUGGAGGAGAGGGGGGGAGUAGAGGGCGCUACCGAAGCUACCGCAAUCUUUAUCUUCCCUGCCAAUCCCAAUAUAAGUCCGUUUAUGCGCAGCCCCAUACUGCGACUACCAUAAUGCCCCGCACGAGAGUUACCCGCGGAAUAGCAAUGAGACGCCGCCUCUCGGAGGAGAUUCGCGAUUCGAGGGAACACUCUGAAGCUGAAUCUUCUUACUUAUCUGGAUUCUAAAUCCGUCUUCCAAAUCCAUUCGCCGAGAAACAAAGGAACGAGAUGGCGCUGCGAGCGGUAAAGUAAUUCACGGUUCGUCACGAAAUAAAAUGUACUAUUAUUCGAAAUAAUUCGUGAAAUUAUAUUUUGGCUAUAUAUCCUGGUUGAACUCUUCGACGACAUUUUCAAAGGUAUUCAGUAAUUCGAAUAAUAAAUUGAAACUCAGUUUUAAUAUACAUCUUCCAAUGUAUAUAUAUGUAUAAC
Apis mellifera (honey bee) is the source of this 863-nucleotide long non-coding RNA. RefSeq lists it as uncharacterized. Lineage: Eukaryota; Metazoa; Arthropoda; Insecta; Hymenoptera; Apidae. The record is from RefSeq and is a predicted model, not a curated record. The transcript has 3 exons.